RNAcentral lists this long non-coding RNA (884 nucleotides) under Salvator merianae (Argentine black and white tegu). RNAcentral's name for it is "lncRNA (ENSSMRG00000012102.1)". Lineage: Eukaryota; Metazoa; Chordata; Lepidosauria; Squamata; Teiidae. The record is from RNAcentral.
CUGAUUCUGCCCUUGAGCAGCUGAGGCUUUCCAUGCAGAUGGACAUAGGCUCAGUUCCUGCCAUCUCGACUGAAUAAGCUAAUAGCAAACUAGUUGUGUAUUGUUGCCAGGGAAACUGCAUGGAUAUGCAAGAGCUGAACUUGACUCAAGGCAUCUUGGCCUUUUAGCUAAUGGCAAGGCUAUGUCUCCAUUACGCAACAAAGGCGCCUUAAGAAAGGCCCCUUUCCAUUAAUCCCAAUAGACACCGACUGCCCUGAGGACCUGAUUACAGGACAUUUUCUAUGUCAUGGAGAUGCAGUCCAAGUGAGCUGCAACAUCCCUGUCUAAACAAAGCCACAGAACGACUGUAAUUGGUAUACUGCAUGUAGAUCUGCUCACCAUGCUUCAGAAAAGGAAAUGUAACUGUUAGAAGAAGUUUGUGAAUCUUUCAGAAUUAUUUAGAUUUAUGCAGGAAUGGCUUCUAAAAAUGUGAUCCGAGUUGAAAUAAGAAAUAAACGCAGUCUUAUUUAAUAACUCACACACACAACAUUCUACAGUGCCAUAUCCUUACCGAACUGCUUAGCAGGAAGGAAAUUCCAUAGGUGUGACUCAGAAGCAUAUUUACAUUUAUUACUUUUCUGAGAGAGAAGAACUAGGAAAAGCAAAGGUCACUUUGAGCAGGGACUCAAGCUGAAGAAGACUGCUCUCGCCAGACCAAGAAAGCCAGGAGAAGCACAGCCCGUGUAACAUCUUGCAUGGCAGGGAGACAAAAUUCUGCUCCUUAUCACUUGCCCAAGCGGAUCCUUUUCAAGUGUGGAAAGCCUUUGAUGUUUAGCUUCCCCUGGUGUUGUCCUGCCAAGAAAGGUGGGUGGAAGGGAAGGUUAUGUUUUAAAUAUGUUUUAAGA